GCCGAGGUGGCGGAAUAGGCAGACGCGCGGGUCUCAAAAACCCGUGGGGCAUUCACCCCGUGUGGGUUCGACUCCCACCCUCGGCA
This 86-nucleotide transfer RNA is filed under the name Caldilineae bacterium. RNAcentral describes it as "tRNA-Leu". It matches the Rfam family "tRNA". Rfam says of the family: Transfer RNA (tRNA) molecules are approximately 80 nucleotides in length. Their secondary structure includes four short double-helical elements and three loops (D, anti-codon, and T loops). Lineage: Bacteria; Bacillati; Chloroflexota; Caldilineae. The record is from RNAcentral.